This 816-nucleotide ribosomal RNA is filed under the name uncultured cyanobacterium. RNAcentral's name for it is "bacterial SSU rRNA". It matches the Rfam family "Bacterial small subunit ribosomal RNA", at positions 524 to 1340 of the family's 1533-position model. Lineage: Bacteria; Bacillati; Cyanobacteriota. The record is from RNAcentral.
GACAGAGGAGGCGAGCGUUAUCCGGAGUCAUUGGGCGUAAAGGGUACGUAGGCGGCUAGUCAAGUCUGAGGUUAAAGACCACAGCUUAACUGUGGGAAGGCCUUGGAAACUGACUGGCUAGAGUGGGGCAGGGGUUGCGGGAAUUCCCGGUGUAGCGGUGAAAUGCGUAGAUAUCGGGAAGAACACCUGAGGCGAAAGCGCGCAACUGGGCCCUAACUGACGCUGAGGUACGAAAGCUAGGGGAGCGAAUGGGAUUAGAUACCCCAGUAGUCCUAGCCGUAAACGAUGGACACUAGACGUUGGCCGACCAACCCGGUCAGUGUCGUAGCUAACGCGUUAAGUGUCCCGCCUGGGGAGUACGCACGCAAGUGUGAAACUCAAAUGAAUUGACGGGGACCCGCACAAGCGGUGGAGCAUGUGGAUUAAUUCGAUACAAACCGAAGAACCUUACCCAGGCUUGACAUCUAGGGAAUCCCAACGAAAGUUGGGAGUCCCCACAGGGACCCGAAGACACCUGUUGCAUGGCUGUCGUCAGCUCGUGCCGUGAGGUGUUUGGUUAAGUCCAGCAACGAGCGCAACCCUCAUCCCGUGUUACCAUCGGGUCAUGCCGGGGACUCACGGGAAACCGCUCCGGUAACGGAGAGGAAGGUGGGGACGACGUCAAGUCAGCAUGGCGGUUACGCCUGGGGCUUCACACAUGCUACAAUGGGCGCAACAAAGGGUUGCAAAACCGCGAGGUGGAGCUAAUCCCAAAAAUACGCCCUCAGUUCAGAUCGCAGUCUGCAAUUCGACUGCGUGAAGCCGGAAUCGCUAGUA